GAUGAACGCCGGCGGUGUGCCUAAUACAUGCAAGUCGAGCGCACUGGCCCAGCAGAAAUGACGUGCUUGCACUGAUUUGACGUUGGAUUCCCAGUGAGCGGCGGACGGGUGAGUAACACGUGGGCAACCUGCCCCAAAGCGGGGGAUAACAUUUGGAAACAGGUGCUAAUACCGCAUAACUUGGAAAACCACAUGGUUUUCCAAUAAAAGAUGGUUUCGACUAUCACUUUGGGAUGGGCCCGCGGUGCAUUAGCUAGUUGGUAAGGUAACGGCUUACCAAGGCGAUGAUGCAUAGCCGAGUUGAGAGACUGAUCGGCCACAAUGGAACUGAGACACGGUCCAUACUCCUACGGGAGGCAGCAGUAGGGAAUCUUCCACAAUGGGCGCAAGCCUGAUGGAGCAACACCGCGUGAGUGAAGAAGGGUUUCGGCUCGUAAAACUCUGUUGUUGGAGAAGAACGUGCGUAAGAGUAA
RNAcentral lists this ribosomal RNA (473 nucleotides) under uncultured Lactobacillus sp. Its description in RNAcentral is "bacterial SSU rRNA". It matches the Rfam family "Bacterial small subunit ribosomal RNA", at positions 28 to 464 of the family's 1533-position model. Lineage: Bacteria; Bacillati; Bacillota; Bacilli; Lactobacillales; Lactobacillaceae. The record is from RNAcentral.